UUUCCGUAGGUGAACCUGCGGAAGGAUCAUUAACAAGUCUCUGCUGCGGGAGUUACUCUCCCGACGCUUGUGCUGCGCGCCCCGUGCGCGUAGAAUACACAUUCUUUUUGACUGAUACUUGCAAAGAACACGAACAACUUUUAACAAUGGAUCUCUAGGCUCUUACAUCGAUGAAGAACGCAGC
RNAcentral lists this unclassified non-coding RNA (184 nucleotides) under plant metagenome. RNAcentral's name for it is "partial contains small subunit ribosomal RNA, internal transcribed spacer 1, and 5.8S ribosomal RNA". The stretch from base 136 to 184 matches the Rfam family "5.8S ribosomal RNA", at positions 1 to 49 of the family's 154-position model. The record is from RNAcentral.